UCGAAGCCUAGAAAGCACGACUGCGAAUAAGUUUAAAAUAUCGGAAGCGCUGCGCGGCCCUCGGGCUCCUCGGCGCAACCUUGCACGGCUGGCGAGGAGACCCGUGCUCUUUGCCUGCCAAAACUAACGAAACCCGGCGCGGGUAGCGCCAAGGAAUCAAAACAAGAAGUGCUUGACCCUCCGACCCGUUGCGGGUUGCAGGGCCUUGCCUGUUCAUAAAAUAACAUAAUGACUCUCGGCAACGGAUAUCUCGGCUCUCGCAUCGAUGAAGAACGUAGCAAAAUGCGAUACUUGGUGUGAAUUGCAGAAUCCCGUGAAUCAUCGAGUCUUUGAACGCAAGUUGCGCCCGAAGCCUUUAGGCCAAGGGCACGUCUGCCUGGGCGUCAUGCACUGCGAUGCCCCCAUGCAAGCAUGAGGGGCGAAUCUUGGCCUCCCGUGAGCCCAACUCGCGGAUGGCUUAAAAAAGAGCCUCGAGACGGGAAAAACGUCGCGACAAGUGGUGGUUAAGAGGCCUCCGGCCCCGGAACAUAGCGCAUUGCGGCGUCACCCAUCCCUUGCUCGGAAGAGACCUAAGCGGAGCGCUACUGCGCCGCCAGCAUC
This 600-nucleotide unclassified non-coding RNA is filed under the name Sedum craigii. RNAcentral describes it as "sequence contains ITS1, 5.8S rRNA gene and ITS2". The stretch from base 231 to 386 matches the Rfam family "5.8S ribosomal RNA". The record is from RNAcentral. Lineage: Eukaryota; Viridiplantae; Streptophyta; Magnoliopsida; Saxifragales; Crassulaceae.